This 253-nucleotide ribosomal RNA is filed under the name uncultured bacterium. Its description in RNAcentral is "partial 16S ribosomal RNA". It matches the Rfam family "Bacterial small subunit ribosomal RNA", at positions 524 to 776 of the family's 1533-position model. The record is from RNAcentral.
GACAGAGGGUGCAAGCGUUGCUCGGAAUUACUGGGCGUAAAGCGCGUGUAGGCGGUGCCGCACGUCCGGUGUGAAAGCCCGGGGCUCAACCCCGGAAGUGCAGUGGAUACGACGGCGCUGGAGUCCUGAAGAGGAGGGCGGAAUUCCCGGUGUAGAGGUGAAAUUCGUAGAUAUCGGGAGGAACACCAGUGGCGAAGGCGGCUCUCUGGACAGGUACUGACGCUGAGACGCGAAAGCGUGGGUAGCAAACAGG